AGUCAUAUGCUUGUCUCAAAGAUUAAGCCAUGCAUGUCUCAGUACAAGCCAAAUUAAGGUGAAACCGCGAAAGGCUCAUUAAAUCAGUUAUGGUUCCUUAGAUCGUACCCACACUUACUUGGAUAACUGUGGUAAUUCUAGAGCUAAUACAUGCAAAUUGAGCCCCGACCGGAGACGGAAGGGGUGCUUUUAUUAGAUCAAAACCAAUCGGCGACGGUUCGCGCCGUCGUCGUAACUUAUGGUGAAUCGAAAUAACUUUUGGCUGAUCGCACGGUCUCGCACCGGCGACGCAUCUUUCAAAUGUCUGCCUUAUCAACUGUCGAUGGUAGGUUCUGCGCCUACCAUGGUUGUAACGGGUAACGGGGAAUCAGGGUUCGAUUCCGGAGAGGGAGCCUGAGAAACGGCUACCACAUCCAAGGAAGGCAGCAGGCGCGCAAAUUACCCACUCCCGGCACGGGGAGGUAGUGACGAAAAAUAACGAUGCGGGACUCAUCCGAGGCCCCGUAAUCGGAAUGAGUAAAUUUUAAAACCCUUUUCGAGGAUCAAUUGGAGGGCCAGUCUGGUGCCAGCAGCCGCGGUAAUUCCAGCUCCAAUAGCGUAU
RNAcentral lists this ribosomal RNA (601 nucleotides) under Aulacochthebius sp. MNCN AI501. RNAcentral describes it as "SSU rRNA". It matches the Rfam family "Eukaryotic small subunit ribosomal RNA", at positions 22 to 602 of the family's 1831-position model. Lineage: Eukaryota; Metazoa; Arthropoda; Insecta; Coleoptera; Hydraenidae. The record is from RNAcentral.